UACGUAGGGUGCGAGCGUUGUCCGGAAUUAUUGGGCGUAAAGGGCUCGUAGGCGGUUUGUCGCGUCGGGAGUGAAAACACCGGGCUUAACUCGGUGCUUGCUUUCGAUACGGGCAGACUAGAGGCAUGCAGGGGAGAACGGAAUUCCUGGUGUAGCGGUGAAAUGCGCAGAUAUCAGGAGGAACACCGGUGGCGAAGGCGGUUCUCUGGGCAUGUCCUGACGCUGAGGAGCGAAAGCUAGGGGAGCAAACGGG
This 253-nucleotide ribosomal RNA is filed under the name uncultured bacterium. Its description in RNAcentral is "partial 16S ribosomal RNA". It matches the Rfam family "Bacterial small subunit ribosomal RNA", at positions 524 to 776 of the family's 1533-position model. The record is from RNAcentral.